RNAcentral lists this ribosomal RNA (387 nucleotides) under uncultured bacterium. RNAcentral's name for it is "bacterial SSU rRNA". It matches the Rfam family "Bacterial small subunit ribosomal RNA", at positions 28 to 417 of the family's 1533-position model. The record is from RNAcentral.
GACGAACGCUGGCGGCGUGCUUAACACAUGCAAGUCGAGCGGUAAGGCCCUUUCGGGGGUACACGAGCGGCGAACGGGUGAGUAACACGUGGGUGACCUGCCCUCAGCUCUGGGAUAAGCCUGGGAAACUGGGUCUAAUACUGGAUAUGACUCCACGGUGCAUGUCGUGGGGUGGAAAGCCUUGUGCGGCUGAGGAUGGGCCCGCGGCCUAUCAGCUUGUUGGUGGGGUGANGGCCUACCAAGGCGACGACGGGUAGCCGGCCUGAGAGGCGACCGGCCACACUGGGACUGAGACACGGCCCAGACUCCUACGGGAGGCAGCAGUGGGGAAUCUUGCGCAAUGGGCGAAAGCCUGACGCAGCGACGCCGCGUGAGGGAUGACGGCCU